This is a non-coding RNA of Acanthosepion pharaonis, 76 nucleotides long. NCBI's taxonomy places the organism in Eukaryota, Metazoa, Mollusca, Cephalopoda, Sepiida, Sepiidae. The record is from the annotation of a GenBank genome assembly.
ACUGAAACACCUGUUCCCGUACAAUCACCGAAGUUAAGCAACGUCGAGCGCGGCUAGUACCUUGAUGGGUUACUGU